RNAcentral lists this RNase P RNA (318 nucleotides) under uncultured archaeon. RNAcentral describes it as "RNaseP_arch". It matches the Rfam family "Archaeal RNase P". From Rfam's summary of the family: Ribonuclease P (RNase P) is a ubiquitous endoribonuclease, found in archaea, bacteria and eukarya as well as chloroplasts and mitochondria. Its best characterised activity is the generation of mature 5'-ends of tRNAs by cleaving the 5'-leader elements of precursor-tRNAs. The record is from RNAcentral.
GGGUGGGUAUCGGGCCUCCGGCUGUAUAGCUGAGGAAAGUCUACCCACCAUUAAAAGGCGACCUUUAUGGAACCAGUAAUGGUUGGCUCCAUCACAGAAACGAACCGUGCAUUGGUAGUAUGAUGCGUGACUCCCGUGGCAACAUGGGCAUACGCGCUGACGUUCCUAUGCGCUUGGAUGAAACGGAUAGCCCUCGCCGGUGCAAGCACCUUUGCGUGCGCUAAGUAGAAUGCCCGAAACGCCUGUCCAGACGGACAAAACCGUCACCAGUGUCUAUCAUUGGUUUGGAGGCGUACAAAAGGUAGCUUAUUCCUGCCC